GCCUUAACAAGGCUCGCUUCUGAAAUAGAGUUGGCGGUGAACCCACUGGAGGCAAAACCUCAAGUGGCCUCAAAACCUUAGCCCUGCUUAAAAACAGAGCAUUCACAGUAGAACCAUCAAAACCCUCAAGUCCUACAUUACUAAACCCAGCACCUCCGAUUGCGGCAGCAUUAUCGGACACCGGAAGCAACUGGGAAGCUUGGAACUCGGGCCCACUAAAACCCAUCAAAUUUGAAGCCUG
Molecule: unclassified non-coding RNA, 241 nt
Filed under: Hevea brasiliensis (rubber tree)
Lineage: Eukaryota; Viridiplantae; Streptophyta; Magnoliopsida; Malpighiales; Euphorbiaceae
Source: RNAcentral